Molecule: ribosomal RNA, 253 nt
Filed under: uncultured bacterium
Lineage: Bacteria
Description: partial 16S ribosomal RNA
Rfam family: Bacterial small subunit ribosomal RNA
Source: RNAcentral
UACGGAGGGUGCAAGCGUUAUCCGGAAUCAUUGGGUUUAAAGGGUCCGCAGGCGGACAUAUAAGUCAGUGGUGAAAGCCCAUCGCUUAACGAUGGAACUGCCAUUGAUACUGUAUGUCUUGAAUUCGGUCGAAGUGGGCGGAAUAUGUCAUGUAGCGGUGAAAUGCUUAGAUAUGACAUAGAACACCGAUAGCGAAGGCAGCUCACUAGGCCUGGAUUGACGCUCAGGGACGAAAGCGUGGGGAGCAAACAGG